UCUUCAGCUGAAGACACAUGAACAUGAUGGU
RNAcentral lists this non-coding RNA (31 nucleotides) under Homo sapiens (human). The record is from RNAcentral. Lineage: Eukaryota; Metazoa; Chordata; Mammalia; Primates; Hominidae.